CUCCUGAGCUGACUUGUCCCUCCAAGCAAUGGCGUGGCAGACAGUUGGACUGAAGGACUGAGUGCCAACUGGCUCGGACUGCUCCAUCGAAGCUGAUCUCAAGGUGUCCCACAUCCUCCAGAAAGCCACUCUGCUGUGGCCUCAUCCAGGUGCAGAGCAGACCUUAAACAGUGGGAGCUGUUGGCUGGUCAUUGGUCUUCCCCUGACCAUGUAGUAAAGGAGCACUCCUGGCCUUUAAUGACAGAAUAUACUUGGGGAACUGAAGACAAUACAAAGGAGGAAUGUGAUGUCAGCUGGAUCACCAAAAGAAGGCAAGAAAGCUAGGGAGACCACACAGCAGAGUAAAAGUACUUGCCCUGAAGAUGUGAGUACCAGAGGGCAGCGCCCCAGAACCUUUGAGAUCUCUAUGCUCAAGGAGGUGAAGAGAUUGUCUCCAGAUUCCCAAGUCCUGCUCCUUCCCUCCUUCCCUUUGGGCUGUGACACAGCAUUCUGUGUCGGCCAGGACAAUAUCAAAUGGCUUGUUUUUACAUCAUUGAUUUUACUUUGAUGAGCAUUCCCAGGAGUCAGCAAAUGACAAGCUGUUCUCCAAUACAUCCUGUAUCCUUGUUUUGAGGGAGCUGUGUUGGGAUGUAGUUGAACAAUAGUGAAACGCAUGUAUUGAAAGUGUAUAGCUGGGUUAGAAUUGGCUUGUUUAGGUUCACUGUAACCCCUCAAAUUAAAAUGAUGUCUUCUCCUAUA
Molecule: long non-coding RNA, 738 nt
Organism: Grammomys surdaster
Lineage: Eukaryota; Metazoa; Chordata; Mammalia; Rodentia; Muridae
Exons: 4
Source: RefSeq, a predicted model, not a curated record